UUUAGGGAGACCUCCCACCUCUUAGCUGAACAGUUUGAGAUUCAAGCAAUUGGAUGUCAAAGCCAUUAAGUAAGAGAUGGUCAUCCCAAGGUCGUUCGAGAUUUGUGAUGGUGUGGCUUUCAAACGAGUCUAGGGAUAGACAGAUGGGCUAUUAGCUCAGGUGGUUAGAGCGCACCCCUGAUAAGGGUGAGGUCCCUGGUUCGAGUCCAGGAUGGCCCACCUUGGGGGUUUAGCUCAGCUGGUAGAGCGCCUGCUUUGCAAGCAGGAUGUCAGCGGUUCGAGUCCGCUAACCUCCACUUGAAUUUUACUGUUUCAUGCAUCAGUUGUUUGAUAGCAGCUCUUGCGAAGAUUGUAAGGCUCAAAAAAGAGGCAGGCAUAAGCUCUGUUCCAAUCUGUUUUUUUAUUUUUGUCGUAGUUUCUGAUUCAGCACCUUUUCCUGAGUUCCAGGUCAGACUGCUGGGUAUCGAUUCAGCUAGAACCUUGAAAACUGCAUAGUAACUUGUCAGGUAGAAGUAAGUGAUUAACGAUUAGCCGCAAGUAAUUAGCCUCCAAGCUAAGAGCUAAAAGCUAAGAGCUAAGAGCUUAAAUCAUAGACACCAAUGUUGCAACUUGAGAAAGUUGAUAGUUAAUUAGU
RNAcentral lists this transfer RNA (634 nucleotides) under Leptolyngbyaceae cyanobacterium WOS-LAB13. RNAcentral describes it as "16S-23S ribosomal RNA intergenic spacer". The stretch from base 224 to 296 matches the Rfam family "tRNA". The record is from RNAcentral. Lineage: Bacteria; Bacillati; Cyanobacteriota; Cyanophyceae; Leptolyngbyales; Leptolyngbyaceae.